AUUGAACGCUGGCGGCAGGCCUAACACAUGCAAGUCGAACGAACGGCGGACGGGUGAGUAAUGUCUGGGAAACUGCCUGAUGGAGGGGGAUAACUACUGGAAACGGUAGCUAAUACCGCAUACCAUCUGAUAUGCCCAGAGGGGAUUAGCUCGGAGGUGGGGUAACGUCUCACCUAGGCGACGAUCCCUAGCUGGUCUUAGAGGAUGACCAGCCACACUGGAAGUGAGACACGGUCCAGACUCCUACGUGAGGAAGCAGUGGGGAAUAUUGCACAAUGGGCGCAAGCCUGAUGCAGCCAUGCCGCGUGUAUGAAGAAGGCCUUCGGGUUGUAAAGUACUUUCAGCGGGGAGGCGUUACUCGCAGAAGAAGCACCGGCUAACUCCGUGCCAGCAGCCGCGGUAAUAC
This 406-nucleotide ribosomal RNA is filed under the name uncultured bacterium. RNAcentral's name for it is "partial 16S ribosomal RNA". It matches the Rfam family "Bacterial small subunit ribosomal RNA", at positions 30 to 526 of the family's 1533-position model. The record is from RNAcentral.